GCCAGACUCCUACGGGAGGCAGCAGUGGGGGAUAUUGCACAAUGGGGGGAACCCUGAUGCAGCGACGCCGCGUGGGUGAAGAAGCGCCUCGGCGCGUAAAGCCCUAUCGGCAGGGAAGAAGGAGGACGGUACCUGACUAAGAAGCCCCGGCUAACUACGUGCCAGCAGCCGCGGUAAUACGUAGGGGGCAAGCGUUAUCCGGAUUUACUGGGUGUAAAGGGGGCGCAGACGGCGAUGCAAGCCAGGAGUGAAAGCCCGGGGCCCAACCCCGGGACUGCUCUUGGAACUGCGUGGCUGGAGUGCAGGAGGGGCAGGCGGAAUUCCUGGUGUAGCGGUGAAAUGCGUAGAUAUCAGGAGGAACACCGGUGGCGAAGGCGGCCUGCUGGACUGCAACUGACGUUGAGGCCCGAAAGCGUGGGGAGCAAACAGGAUUAGAUACCCCGGUA
This 446-nucleotide ribosomal RNA is filed under the name uncultured bacterium. RNAcentral describes it as "bacterial SSU rRNA". It matches the Rfam family "Bacterial small subunit ribosomal RNA", at positions 330 to 792 of the family's 1533-position model. The record is from RNAcentral.